GAUGAACGCUGGCGGCGUGCCUAAUACAUGCAAGUCGAGCGAACAGACGAGGAGCUUGCUCCUCUGACGUUAGCGGCGGACGGGUGAGUAACACGUGGAUAACCUACCUAUAAGACUGGGAUAACUUCGGGAAACCGGAGCUAAUACCGGAUAAUAUAUUGAACCGCAUGGUUCAAUAGUGAAAGACGGUUUUGCUGUCACUUAUAGAUGGAUCCGCGCCGCAUUAGCUAGUUGGUAAGGUAACGGCUUACCAAGGCAACGAUGCGUAGCCGACCUGAGAGGGUGAUCGGCCACACUGGAACUGAGACACGGUCCAGACUCCUACGGGAGGCAGCAGUAGGGAAUCUUCCGCAAUGGGCGAAAGCCUGACGGAGCAACGCCGCGUGAGUGAGGAAGGUCUUCGGAUCGUAAAACUCUGUUAUUAGGGAAGAACAAAUGUGUAAGUAACUAUGCACGUCUUGACGGUACCUAAUCAGAAAGCCACGGCUAACUACGUG
RNAcentral lists this ribosomal RNA (497 nucleotides) under uncultured bacterium. Its description in RNAcentral is "partial 16S ribosomal RNA". It matches the Rfam family "Bacterial small subunit ribosomal RNA", at positions 28 to 507 of the family's 1533-position model. The record is from RNAcentral.